Molecule: ribosomal RNA, 464 nt
Filed under: uncultured soil bacterium
Lineage: Bacteria
Description: bacterial SSU rRNA
Rfam family: Bacterial small subunit ribosomal RNA
Source: RNAcentral
AGAUUGAACGCUGGCGGCAGGCCUAACACAUGCAAGUCGAGCGGUAGAGAGGUGCUUGCACCUCUUGAGAGCGGCGGACGGGUGAGUAAUGCCUAGGAAUCUGCCUAGUGGUGGGGGAUAACGUUCGGAAACGGACGCUAAUACCGCAUACGUCCUACGGGAGAAAGCGGGGGACCUUCGGGCCUCGCGCCAUUAGAUGAGCCUAGGUCGGAUUAGCUAGUUGGUGAGGUAAUGGCUCACCAAGGCGACGAUCCGUAACUGGUCUGAGAGGAUGAUCAGUCACACUGGAACUGAGACACGUCCAGACUCGUACGGGAGCAGCAGUGGGAAUAUUGGACAAUGGGACGAAAGCCUGAUCCAGCCAUGCCGCGUGUGUGAAGAGGUCUCGAUUAGAAGCAACGUUUAAGGUUGGAAGGUAAGGGUUAGUAAUUAACGUUACGUUGCUAACGUUUGAACGUUACCGA